AUUGAACGCUGGCGGCGUGCUUAACACAUGCAAGUCGAGCGGCAGCGGGCCCGCAAGGGUGCCGGCGAGCGGCGGACGGGUGAGCAAUACAUAGGAAUCUGCCUCAGAGCGGGGGAUAGCCAGGGGAAACCCUGAUUAAUACCGCAUGAUGUCGAAAGACCAAAGUGGGGGACCUAAGGCCCCACACUCUGAGAUGAGCCUAUGUCGGAUUAGCAGUUGGCGGGGUAACGGCCCACCAAGGCGACGAUCCGUAGCUGGUCUGAGAGGACGAUCAGCCACACCGGAACUGAGACACGGUCCGGACUCCUACGGGAGGCAGCA
RNAcentral lists this ribosomal RNA (321 nucleotides) under uncultured bacterium. RNAcentral's name for it is "bacterial SSU rRNA". It matches the Rfam family "Bacterial small subunit ribosomal RNA", at positions 29 to 353 of the family's 1533-position model. The record is from RNAcentral.